AUAAGUCUAGAAAACUACGGUCCCAGGCCAUUUUUGUUGGUUAUAAGUGGGUUCCAGAACCAAAGGCAGCACACAGCUCUUCCUAAAAUUGAAGGUGGUUUAUGCCCAAGAUGAAACUGAAUUCUAUUUGGGCAAGAGAUGUGCUUAUGUAUACAAAGCAAAGAACACCACAAUAGCUCCUGCAGCAAACCAAACCAAACCAGAGUAAUUUGGGGAAAGAUAACUUGGACACAGAGACAGUGGCAUGGUUCGUGCCAAAUUCUAAAGCAAUCUUCCUGUUAAGGCCGCUGGACACAGAAUCCAUGUGAUACUGUGUCCCUCAAGGCUU
Molecule: long non-coding RNA, 328 nt
Filed under: Homo sapiens (human)
Lineage: Eukaryota; Metazoa; Chordata; Mammalia; Primates; Hominidae
Description: non-protein coding lnc-LETMD1-1:1
Source: RNAcentral